This 2884-nucleotide ribosomal RNA is filed under the name Chelonobacter oris. RNAcentral describes it as "Bacterial large subunit ribosomal RNA". It matches the Rfam family "Bacterial large subunit ribosomal RNA". Lineage: Bacteria; Pseudomonadati; Pseudomonadota; Gammaproteobacteria; Pasteurellales; Pasteurellaceae. The record is from Rfam by way of RNAcentral.
GGUUAAGUGACGAAGCGUGCAGGGUGGAUGCCUAGGCAGUCAGAGGCGAAGAAGGACGUGUUAAUCUGCGAAAAGCGUGGAGGAGUUGAUAAAAAGCGUUAUUACUCCACGAUAUCCGAAUGGGGAAACCCAGUGGGUGAAGAACCCACUAUCAGCACAUGAAUUCAUAGUGUGUUGAGGCGAACCGGGAGAACUGAAACAUCUCAGUACCCCGAGGAAAAGAAAUCAACCGAGAUUCUGUAAGUAGCGGCGAGCGAACGCGGAAGAGCCGUUAGUGAUAGUAUGUGUGUUAGGAGAAUGAGUUGGGAAGCUCAAUCGCAGAGGGUGAUAAUCCCGUAUCCGAAGGCGCGUAUAUGGUACUAAGCUAACAAGAAGUAGGGCGGGACACGAGAAAUCCUGUUUGAAGAUGGGGGGACCAUCCUCCAAGGCUAAAUACUCCUGACUGACCGAUAGUGAACCAGUACCGUGAGGGAAAGGCGAAAAGAACCCUGGUGAAGGGAGUGAAAUAGAACCUGAAACCCUGUACGUACAAGCAGUGGGAGCCGCAAGGUGACUGCGUACCUUUUGUAUAAUGGGUCAGCGACUUAUAUUAUGUAGCGAGGUUAACCGCAUAGGGGAGCCGAAGGGAAACCGAGUCUUAACUGGGCGAAUAGUUGCAUGAUAUAGACCCGAAACCCGGUGAUCUAGCCAUGGGCAGGUUGAAGGUUGGGUAACACUAACUGGAGGACCGAACCGACUACUGUUGAAAAAGUAGCGGAUGACUUGUGGCUGGGGGUGAAAGGCCAAUCAAACCGGGAGAUAGCUGGUUCUCCCCGAAAUCUAUUUAGGUAGAGCCUUGGACGAAUACCUUCGGGGGUAGAGCACUGUUUCGGCUAGGGGGCCAUCCCGGCUUACCAACCCGAUGCAAACUACGAAUACCGAAGAGUAAUAUCCGGGAGACACACGGCGGGUGCUAACGUUCGUCGUGAAGAGGGAAACAACCCAGACCGCCAGCUAAGGUCCCGAAGUACUAAUUAAGUGGGAAACGAAGUGGGAAGGCUUAGACAGCUAGGAUGUUGGCUUAGAAGCAGCCAUCAUUUAAAGAAAGCGUAAUAGCUCACUAGUCGAGUCGGCCUGCGCGGAAGAUGUAACGGGGCUAAAAUUAGUCACCGAAGCUGCGGCAUCAGUGGAAACACUGUUGGGUAGGGGAGCGUUGUGUAAGCGGAAGAAGGUGAAUCGAGAGGUUUGCUGGACGUAUCACAAGUGCGAAUGCUGACAUAAGUAACGAUAAAGGGGGUGAAAAACCCCCUCGCCGGAAGACCAAGGGUUCCUGUCCAACGUUAAUCGGGGCAGGGUGAGUCGGCCCCUAAGGCGAGGCUGAAGAGCGUAGUCGAUGGGAAACGGGUUAAUAUUCCCGUACUUGUUAUAAGAGCGAUGUGGGGACGGAGCAGGUUAGGUUAUCCGGGUGACGGAAGUCCCGGUCCAAGCGUGUAGGAUGGAUGAUUAGGCAAAUCCGGUCAUCUAUAUCAGAGGCGUGACGGGGAGGCACCAAGGUGCCGAAGUAACCGAUACCACACUUCCAGGAAAAGCCGCUAAGCAUAUUUUAUAAUAAACCGUACUGAAAACCGACACAGGUGGUCAGGUAGAGAAUACUCAGGCGCUUGAGAGAACUCGGGUGAAGGAACUAGGCAAAAUAGCACCGUAACUUCGGGAGAAGGUGCGCUGAGGGUAGUUGAAGUCCCGAGCGGACGGAGGCGAGCUCAGUCGAAGAUACCAGCUGGCUGCAACUGUUUAUUAAAAACACAGCACUCUGCAAACACGAAAGUGGACGUAUAGGGUGUGACGCCUGCCCGGUGCUGGAAGGUUAAUUGAUGAUGUGAGAGCAUUUGAUCGAAGCCCCAGUAAACGGCGGCCGUAACUAUAACGGUCCUAAGGUAGCGAAAUUCCUUGUCGGGUAAGUUCCGACCUGCACGAAUGGCGUAAUGAUGGCCAGGCUGUCUCCACCCGAGACUCAGUGAAAUUGAAAUCGCCGUGAAGAUGCGGUGUACCCGCGGCUAGACGGAAAGACCCCGUGAACCUUUACUAUAGCUUGACACUGAACAUUGAAUUUUGAUGUGUAGGAUAGGUGGGAGACUAUGAAGACGUAACGCCAGUUAUGUUGGAGUCGUUGUUGAAAUACCACCCUUUAAGGUUUGAUGUUCUAACACAGAUUGCGAAACGCGGUCGUGGACAGUGUCUGGUGGGUAGUUUGACUGGGGCGGUCUCCUCCCAAAGCGUAACGGAGGAGUACGAAGGUUUGCUAAUCACGGUCGGACAUCGUGAGGUUAGUACAAUGGUAUAAGCAAGCUUGACUGCGAGACGGACAUGUCGAGCAGGUGCGAAAGCAGGUCAUAGUGAUCCGGUGGUUCUGAAUGGAAGGGCCAUCGCUCAACGGAUAAAAGGUACUCCGGGGAUAACAGGCUGAUACCGCCCAAGAGUUCAUAUCGACGGCGGUGUUUGGCACCUCGAUGUCGGCUCAUCACAUCCUGGGGCUGAAGUAGGUCCCAAGGGUAUGGCUGUUCGCCAUUUAAAGUGGUACGCGAGCUGGGUUUAGAACGUCGUGAGACAGUUCGGUCCCUAUCUGCCGUGGGCGUUGGAGAAUUGAAAGGGGCUGCUCCUAGUACGAGAGGACCGGAGUGGACGCACCGCUGGUGUUCCAGUUGUUUCGCCAGAAGCAUUGCUGGGUAGCUAUGUGCGGGAGAGAUAAGUGCUGAAAGCAUCUAAGCACGAAACUUGCCUUGAGAUGAGUUCUCCCCGGAUAAAAUCCGGUAAGGGUUGUUUAAGACUAAGACGUAGAUAGGCGGGGUGUGUAAGUGUAGCGAUACAUUGAGCUAACCCGUACUAAUUGCCCGAGAGGCUUAACCAU